Molecule: long non-coding RNA, 480 nt
Filed under: Anser brachyrhynchus (Pink-footed goose)
Lineage: Eukaryota; Metazoa; Chordata; Aves; Anseriformes; Anatidae
Description: lncRNA (ENSABRG00000019065.1)
Source: RNAcentral
UGCGAAUCUGCACCGAAUGAGAAAAAAAUACAGAAGUGCUGCCCCUUGCCUGCUGUGCAUUGCGAAAUGGUUCUCCAGCCUGGAGCUCUGCUUUCACAGGGUCUGGUGCAGGGGACCAGGGUCUGCAGGAAAAUCUCCCCAAAAACAUCCCCGUGUUCCAAAGGCUUUGCUUGCUGCGUGCCACCUGCAGCUCCAGGCAAACCCGUGCUUCUGAGGGUGCAAAGGAGAGCAUGUUCUCCAGAGAGGAGCAUCUCGUGGUUAUCAGUAAGGGAAGGAUCUGGUGGCAGUACAGCGUACGGUGACAGCACCAGUUUUGACCAUUUUUUAAUGCUCGGGUGCUGGCAGGGACCUGCUCGGCACCAACUCCUGCCCUGCUCGGGGCUGAUGCUGUUGGCAUUGCCUCUGCUGCCUCCUGCGCUGGAUCUGGCCGCUUUGCUUCGCGUUGGAGCCAUCCAGAGGACGGCAGGGAGAAGAAGCUUG